This 107-nucleotide non-coding RNA is filed under the name Saimiri boliviensis boliviensis (Bolivian squirrel monkey). The record is from RNAcentral. Lineage: Eukaryota; Metazoa; Chordata; Mammalia; Primates; Cebidae.
AGUUGGUCCAAAGGUGGUACAUUUUCUUGAUUGGAGAUUCACAGAGCAGGUCAAAUUCCUUGUUCUACUCUUUCCCCCUUCUCAUGACUGCACUUGACAAGUCUUAA